AACGAACGCUGGCGGCAUGCCUAACACAUGCAAGUCGAACGAGACCUUCGGGUCUAGUGGCGCACGGGUGCGUAACGCGUGGGAACCUGCCCUUAGGUUCGGAAUAACUCCCCGAAAGGGGUGCUAAUACCGGAUAAUGUCUUCGGACCAAAGAUUUAUCGCCUUUGGAUGGGCCCGCGUUGGAUUAGCUAGUUGGUAGGGUAAAAGCCUAUCAAGGCGACGAUCCAUAGCUGGUCUGAGAGGAUGAUCAGCCACACUGGGACUGGGACACGGCCCAGACUCCUACGGGAGGCAGGAGUGGGGAAUAUUGGACAAUGGGCGAAAGCCUGAUCCAGCAAUGCCGCGUGAGUGAUGAUGGCCUUAGGGUUGUAAAGCUCUUUUACCCGGGAUGAUAAUGACGGUACCGGGAGAAUAAGCACCGGCUAACUCCGUG
Molecule: ribosomal RNA, 433 nt
Filed under: uncultured bacterium
Lineage: Bacteria
Description: partial 16S ribosomal RNA
Rfam family: Bacterial small subunit ribosomal RNA
Source: RNAcentral